This is a non-coding RNA of Vigna umbellata (rice bean), 614 nucleotides long. The record is from RefSeq and is a predicted model, not a curated record. Lineage: Eukaryota; Viridiplantae; Streptophyta; Magnoliopsida; Fabales; Fabaceae.
GUUUAGUAUUUUAGACUACUGAUAGAUAUUGAAUUGAUGUUUGAUUUGACUGCAAUUAGGCCUACGAGAAAUGCUUUCAGAAUUUGCAUUACGUAGAGCGACAUGAGGAGCAUACAAUUGCCCAUGCAAUUCAAACUUCUUAUAAAAAGACCAAGGUGUAUCUCUGGCCUGCUCCAACAACAACUGGUAUGAAAGCUGGCAGAACAGUCGAAUCCAUACUGCACUUGGCUGGUUUAAAGAAUGUCAAGUCUAAGGUCAUUGGUUCCAGAAAUCCUCAUAAUACAGUUAAGGCUGUCUUCAAAGCACUUAAUGCGAUUGAAACACCAAGGGAUGUUCAAGAGAAGUUUGGUAGGACUGUGGUUGAGAAGUAUCUGUUGUGACGGAUAUGGCGAUGUGGUGAGUUCAGUCUUUUGGUUGUCUUCCAUUUAAUUUAUUAAUUGUACUUUUCAAUCAUGUGCAUUUACCGAGAAUGGAAGGGAGUUUUCCGAACGAAUUACUUGUGAACAUUAGCUAUGGAAUUUUGGCUGUAACUUUUCUUUAGCAAACGCAAAAGGAACAAUAGUUUAGGAAAUGUUCCUUUUCGUUUGUGUUUUUCCUCGCAUUUUGAAGCAUUC